This 450-nucleotide ribosomal RNA is filed under the name uncultured bacterium. Its description in RNAcentral is "partial 16S ribosomal RNA". It matches the Rfam family "Bacterial small subunit ribosomal RNA", at positions 354 to 796 of the family's 1533-position model. The record is from RNAcentral.
GUGGGGAAUAUUGGACAAUGGGGGGAACCCUGAUCCAGCCAUGCCGCGUGUGUGAAGAAGGCCUUUUGGUUGUAAAGCACUUUAAGCGAGGAGGAGGCUACCGAGAUUAAUACUCUUGGAUAGUGGACGUUACUCGCAGAAUAAGCACCGGCUAACUCUGUGCCAGCAGCCGCGGUAAUACAGAGGGUGCAAGCGUUAAUCGGAUUUACUGGGCGUAAAGCGCGCGUAGGUGGCCAAGUAAGUCAAAUGUGAAAUCCCCGAGCUUAACUUGGGAAUUGCAUUCGAGACUGGUGGGCUAGAGUAUGGGAGAGGAUGGUAGAAUUCCAGGUGUAGCGGUGAAAUGCGUAGAGAUCUGGAGGAAUACCGAUGGCGAAGGCAGCCAUCUGGCCUAAUACUGACACUGAGGUGCGAAAGCAUGGGGAGCAAACAGGAUUAGAUACCGAGUAGUCC